This 330-nucleotide unclassified non-coding RNA is filed under the name uncultured Neonectria. Its description in RNAcentral is "sequence contains ITS1". The stretch from base 1 to 105 matches the Rfam family "5.8S ribosomal RNA", at positions 50 to 154 of the family's 154-position model. Lineage: Eukaryota; Fungi; Ascomycota; Sordariomycetes; Hypocreales; Nectriaceae. The record is from RNAcentral.
GAAAUGCGAUAAGUAAUGUGAAUUGCAGAAUUCAGUGAACCAUCGAAUCUUUGAACGCACAUUGCGCCCGCCAGUACUCUGGCGGGCAUGCCUGUUCGAGCGUCAUUACAACCCUCAAGCCCCCGGGCUUGGCGUUGGGGAUCGGCACAAGGCGGAGGGCCCCCUCGGGAGCCCCCCGGCCCGCCGUCCCCCAAAUCCAGUGGCGGUCACGUCGCGGCCUCCUAUGCGUAGUAGCAACACCUCGCAAUGGAACCCGUCGUGCCCACGCCGUAAAACCCCCGACUUUUACAAGUUGACCUCGAAUCAGGUAGGACUACCCGCUGAACUUAA